GACCUGCUCACAUUUAGCUCAGUGGCAGAACAUCUGUCUUGCAAACAGAAGCUCCCAGGUUCAAUCCCCAGGUAGGGCU
This is a non-coding RNA of Podarcis lilfordi (Lilford's wall lizard), 79 nucleotides long. The record is from the annotation of a GenBank genome assembly. Lineage: Eukaryota; Metazoa; Chordata; Lepidosauria; Squamata; Lacertidae.